This 75-nucleotide transfer RNA is filed under the name Spirochaetota bacterium. Its description in RNAcentral is "Spirochaetes bacterium tRNA-Leu". It matches the Rfam family "tRNA". From Rfam's summary of the family: Transfer RNA (tRNA) molecules are approximately 80 nucleotides in length. The record is from RNAcentral. Lineage: Bacteria; Pseudomonadati; Spirochaetota.
GCACACGUAGCCCAAUUGGAAGCAGGCAAUGGACUAAGAAUCCAUUCAGUGCAGGUUCAAAUCCUGUCGUGUGCA